GAUGAACGCUGGCGGCGUGCCUAAUACAUGCAAGUCGAGCGAACGGACGAGAAGCUUGCUUCUCUCAUGUUAGCGGCGGACGGGUGAGUCACACGUGUAUCACCUACCUAUAAGACUGGGAUAACUUCGAGAAACCGGAUCUAAUACCGUAUGAUAUCUUGAACCGCAUUGUUCAAAAGUGAAAUACGGUCUUUCUGUCACUUAUAGAGGCAUCCGCGCUGCUUUAGCUAGUUGGUAAGGUCACGGCUUACCAGGGCAACGAUGCGUAGCCGACGGCCGGGGCGGAUAGCCGACCUGGGAAGGGGGACACGGUCAAGAGUCCUGAGAGAGGCAGCAGUAGGGAAUGGUACGCAAUGGGCGAAAGUAUGACGGAGCGGGGCCGCGUGAGUGAUGAAGGUGCUGGGAUCGGAAAAAUCUGUUAUUAGGUAAGAACAGCUUUGGAAGGAGCUGUGCAGAUCGUGACGGUAACGAGUCAGGAAGCCACGGCUAACUACGUG
RNAcentral lists this ribosomal RNA (497 nucleotides) under uncultured bacterium. RNAcentral's name for it is "partial 16S ribosomal RNA". It matches the Rfam family "Bacterial small subunit ribosomal RNA", at positions 28 to 507 of the family's 1533-position model. The record is from RNAcentral.